RNAcentral lists this ribosomal RNA (253 nucleotides) under uncultured bacterium. Its description in RNAcentral is "partial 16S ribosomal RNA". It matches the Rfam family "Bacterial small subunit ribosomal RNA", at positions 524 to 776 of the family's 1533-position model. The record is from RNAcentral.
UACGGGGGGGGCAAGCGUUGUUCGGAAUUACUGGGCGUAAAGGGCUCGUAGGUGGCCAACUAAGUCAGACGUGAAAUCCCUCGGCUUAACCGGGGAACUGCGUCUGAUACUGGAUGGCUUGAGUUUGGGAGAGGGAUGCGGAAUUCCAGGUGUAGCGGUGAAAUGCGUAGAUAUCUGGAGGAACGCCGGUGGCGAAGGCGGCAUCCUGGACCAACACUGACACUGAGGAGCGAAAGCCAGGGGAGCAAACGGG